GUGAGGAAUAUUGCUCAAUGGCCGAAAGGCUGAAGCAGCGACGCCGCGUGGAGGAUGAAGUCCGUUAGGAUGUAAACUCCUUUUGUAGGGGAUGAAUGUCCCGCCUUUGGCGGGAUUGACCGUACCCUGCGAAUAAGGAUCGGCCAACUACGUGCCAGCAGCCGCGGUAAUACGUAGGAUCCGAGCGUUGUCCGGAAUUACUGGGUGUAAAGGGCGUGUAGGUGGGUCUUUAAGUCGGUGGUGAAAUCCUGCAGCUUAACUGUAGAACUGCCUCCGAUACUGAAGGUCUUGAGUGCGGCAGAGGGAGAUGGAAUUCAUGGUGUAGCGGUGAAAUGUGUAGAUAUCAUGAAGAACACCGGUUGCGAAGGCGGUCUCCUGGUCCGUAACUGACACUGAGGCGCGAAAGCGUGGGGAGCAAACAGGAUUAGAUACCCCUGUAGUCC
RNAcentral lists this ribosomal RNA (443 nucleotides) under uncultured bacterium. RNAcentral's name for it is "bacterial SSU rRNA". It matches the Rfam family "Bacterial small subunit ribosomal RNA", at positions 354 to 796 of the family's 1533-position model. The record is from RNAcentral.